Molecule: small RNA, 67 nt
Filed under: Arabidopsis thaliana (thale cress)
Lineage: Eukaryota; Viridiplantae; Streptophyta; Magnoliopsida; Brassicales; Brassicaceae
Description: ATSL184520
Source: RNAcentral
AAAUUUAAAUUUUUUAUCCAAAACAUCUUCUACCGUGAAAUAAAUUAAAAUGGCUAAAAAUCUCAUA